This 96-nucleotide transfer RNA is filed under the name compost metagenome. Its description in RNAcentral is "tRNA-Ala". The record is from RNAcentral.
CCGGGCGCGAGGUGCGGCAGUGUUCGGCGACGCUGGCGUCGGCGUUCAUCCAGCUCAGCUUUAGCGGUUUCGGUGCGUAUUCGGGCGCCGGAUCCA